AGAGUUUGAUCCUGGCUCAGAACGAACGCUGGCGGCGUGCCUAACACAUGCAAGUCGAACGGAGAUAAGGGGCUUGCUCCUUAUUUUAGUGGCGCACGGGUGAGUAACGCGUGGAUAAUCUACCUUGGAAUCUGGGAUAACAUUUCGAAAGGGGUGCUAAUACCGGAUAAGACCACGAGCUCUUUGGAGUUUGCGGUAAAAGGGGGCCUCUGUAUAUGCUUCUGCUUCAAGAUGAGUCCGCGUACCAUUAGCUAGUUGGCAGGGUAAUGGCCUACCAAGGCGACGAUGGUUAGCUGGUCUGAGAGGAUGAUCAGCCACACUGGAACUGAGACACGGUCCAGACUCCUACGGGAGGCAGCAGUGGGGAAUUUUGCGCAAUGGGGGAAACCCUGACGCAGCAACGCCGCGUGAGUGAUGAAGGCCUUCGGGUCGUAAAGCU
Molecule: ribosomal RNA, 439 nt
Filed under: uncultured bacterium
Lineage: Bacteria
Description: bacterial SSU rRNA
Rfam family: Bacterial small subunit ribosomal RNA
Source: RNAcentral